ACUAGGGGAAGGUCAAGUGCGAGCAGCUUCCAUAAAGGCCCACACUCUGAGACACUUAGGUCUUUGGAAAGUCCCAAGUGAAGAACUGAGGCUUCCUGCCAAUUGUUAAGGUUGAGUCUUCUUGAAAGCAAGUCCUCCAGUUCCAAUCAAGCCUUCAGACAACUUUAGUCCCUGCCAACAUGCUGAGUGCAACCUGAAUCAUGUACUAAGCUUCUCCCAAGUUCUUGACUCCCCCCCAAACUGUGGGGAACCACUGGAUGGAUUCAGGCUGACUUAGUCAAGGGAAUGCCGUGGAACUUGUACUUUGCCUCCACAUCAACAGUAGCACCUGCGGUGACCCUUUUCAGAAGCGUCCCUGCUCACUUUCUUCAGGACAAAGCUUUUCCUUUCUCCCUGAACUUUGACAGGACCUAUCCUCUGAGGUGAAAAGGUAAAAAUAUUUGCCAUGCCCUGUGAUGAAUUCAGAAAAGAACUGGUCACGGGGCUUAUGUGGUUUCAGGAGCAGAGGUAAGCUCUGUAGGAGAGGUACAAUAACAAAUCACUGUGUGGAUUCCAAGAGGGAAUGCGGGACAGCCUUAGAAGUCCCUUUACUAUAAAGUCACCCUUAUCCCCCGUUUUCUUCACACAAUAGGAAAAAGUGAUAGAGCUGGGAAAAAUCCGGUGGAAGCUGUUAUUUUGUUUUUGCUUUUUUUCUUUGUUUUGUUUUUGAGAGGGAGGUAGAGGGCCCAAGUUGAGCCAGUGGCAGAGAGAGA
Prionailurus viverrinus (fishing cat) is the source of this 752-nucleotide long non-coding RNA. RefSeq lists it as uncharacterized. The transcript is spliced from 3 exons. NCBI's taxonomy places the organism in Eukaryota, Metazoa, Chordata, Mammalia, Carnivora, Felidae. The record is from RefSeq and is a predicted model, not a curated record.